RNAcentral lists this ribosomal RNA (509 nucleotides) under uncultured bacterium. Its description in RNAcentral is "bacterial SSU rRNA". It matches the Rfam family "Bacterial small subunit ribosomal RNA", at positions 19 to 518 of the family's 1533-position model. The record is from RNAcentral.
CUGGCUCAGAACGAACGCUGGCGGCGCGCUUAAGCAUGCAAGUCGAACGGCAAGAGGUAGCAAUACCUCCUAGAGUGGCGGACUGGUGAGUAACACGUGGGUGACAUACCCUUCAGAUGGGGAUAGCUAUUAGAAAUAGUAGAUAAUACCGAAUACGAGCACAGGGGUUAGAGAUCUGUGAGGAAAGGAGCUAAGGCUCCGCUGAAGGAAUGGCCUGCGGCCCAUUAGCUAGUUGGUGAGGUAAGAGCCCACCAAGGCGAUGAUGGGUAUCCGGCCUUAGAGGGUGAACGGACACAUUGGGACUGAGAUACGGCCCAGACUCCUACGGGAGGCAGCAGCUAAGAAUAUUCCGCAAUGGACGAAAGUCUGACGGAGCGACGCCGCGUGGAUGAAGAAGGCCGGAAGGUUGUAAAAUCCUUUUGAAACUGAAGAAUAAGCGUUGUAGGGAAUGACAGCGUGGUGACAGUAGGUUUUGAAUAAGCAACGGCUAAUUACGUGCCAGCCGCCGC